UACGGAGGGGGCUAGCGUUGUUCGGAAUUACUGGGCGUAAAGCGCACGUAGGCGGAUCAGUCAGUCAGGGGUGAAAUCCCGGGGCUCAACCCCGGAACUGCCUUUGAUACUGCUGGUCUGGAGGAUGAGAGAGGCGAGUGGAAUUCCGAGUGUAGAGGUGAAAUUCGUAGAUAUUCGGAGGAACACCAGUGGCGAAGGCGGCUCGCUGGCUCAUUUCUGACGCUGAGGUGCGAAAGCGUGGGGAGCAAACAGG
RNAcentral lists this non-coding RNA (253 nucleotides) under uncultured prokaryote. Its description in RNAcentral is "partial 16S ribosomal RNA". It matches the Rfam family "Bacterial small subunit ribosomal RNA", at positions 524 to 776 of the family's 1533-position model. RNAcentral also lists the same sequence under 1 other name. The record is from RNAcentral.